RNAcentral lists this ribosomal RNA (253 nucleotides) under uncultured bacterium. RNAcentral's name for it is "partial 16S ribosomal RNA". It matches the Rfam family "Bacterial small subunit ribosomal RNA", at positions 524 to 776 of the family's 1533-position model. The record is from RNAcentral.
UACGGAGGGGGCUAGCGUUGUUCGGAAUUACUGGGCGUAAAGCGCACGUAGGCGGCUUUGUAAGUUAGAGGUGAAAGCCCGGGGCUCAACUCCGGAAUUGCCUUUAAGACUGCAUCGCUAGAAUUGUGGAGAGGUAAGUGGAAUUCCGAGUGUAGAGGUGAAAUUCGUAGAUAUUCGGAAGAACACCAGUGGCGAAGGCGACUUACUGGACACAUAUUGACGCAGAGGUGCGAAAGCGUGGGGAGCAAACAGG